UUAAGUUAGAAAGGGCGCACGGUGGAUGCCUUGGCACUAGGAGCCGAUGAAGGACGGGACGAACACCGAUAUGCUUCGGGGAGCUGUAAGCAAGCUUUGAUCCGGAGAUUUCCGAAUGGGGAAACCCACUGCUCGUAAUGGAGUAGUAUCCAUACUUGAAUACAUAGAGUAUGAGAAGGCAUACCCGGGGAACUGAAACAUCUAAGUACCCGGAGGAAGAGAAAGCAAAUGCGAUUCCCUGAGUAGCGGCGAGCGAAACGGGAACAGCCCAAACCAAGAGGCUUGCCUCUUGGGGUUGUAGGACACUCUAUACGGAGUUACAAAGGAACGAUAUAAGCGAAGAGGUCUGGAAAGGCCCGCCAAAGAAGGUAACAGCCCUGUAACUGAAAUGUUGUUCUCUCCAGAGUGGAUCCUGAGUACGGCGGAACACGUGAAAUUCCGUCGGAAUCCGGGAGGACCAUCUCCCAAGGCUAAAUACUCCCUAGUGACCGAUAGUGAACCAGUACCGUGAGGGAAAGGUGAAAAGCACCCCGGAAGGGGAGUGAAAUAGAUCCUGAAACCGUGUGCCUACAAGUAGUCAGAGCCCGUUAACGGGUGAUGGCGUGCCUUUUGUAGAAUGAACCGGCGAGUUACGAUCCCGUGCAAGGUUAAGCAGAAGAUGCGGAGCCGCAGCGAAAGCGAGUCUGAAUAGGGCGCAUGAGUACGUGGUCGUAGACCCGAAACCAGGUGAUCUACCCAUGUCCAGGGUGAAGUUCAGGUAACACUGAAUGGAGGCCCGAACCCACGCACGUUGAAAAGUGCGGGGAUGAGGUGUGGGUAGGGGUGAAAUGCCAAUCGAACCUGGAGAUAGCUGGUUCUCUCCGAAAUAGCUUUAGGGCUAGCCUCAAGGUAAGAGUCUCGGAGGUAGAGCACUGAUUGGACUAGGGGCCCCUACCGGGUUACCGAAUUCAGUCAAACUCCGAAUGCCGAUGACUUAUCCUUGGGAGUCAGACUGCGAGUGAUAAGAUCCGUAGUCGAAAGGGAAACAGCCCAGACCGCCAGCUAAGGUCCCAAAGUAUACGUUAAGUGGAAAAGGAUGUGGAGUUGCUUAGACAACCAGGAUGUUGGCUUAGAAGCAGCCACCAUUUAAAGAGUGCGUAAUAGCUCACUGGUCGAGUGACUCUGCGCCGAAAAUGUACCGGGGCUAAACGUAUCACCGAAGCUGCGGACUGUUCUUACGAACAGUGGUAGGAGAGCGUUCUAAGUGCAGUGAAGUCAGACCGGAAGGACUGGUGGAGCGCUUAGAAGUGAGAAUGCCGGUAUGAGUAGCGAAAGACGGGUGAGAAUCCCGUCCACCGAAUGCCUAAGGUUUCCUGAGGAAGGCUCGUCCGCUCAGGGUUAGUCGGGACCUAAGCCGAGGCCGAAAGGCGUAGGCGAUGGACAACAGGUUGAUAUUCCUGUACCACCUCCUCACCAUUUGAGCAAUGGGGGGACGCAGGAGGAUAGGGUAAGCGCGGUAUUGGAUAUCCGCGUCCAAGCAGUUAGGCUGGGAAAUAGGCAAAUCCGUUUCCCGUGAAGGCUGAGCUGUGAUGGCGAGCGAAAUUUAGUAGCGAAGUUCCUGAUUCCACACUGCCAAGAAAAGCCUCUAGCGAGGUGAGAGGUGCCCGUACCGCAAACCGACACAGGUAGGCGAGGAGAGAAUCCUAAGGUGAUCGAGAGAACUCUCGUUAAGGAACUCGGCAAAAUGACCCCGUAACUUCGGGAGAAGGGGUGCUUCUUAGGGUGUUAAAGCCCCGAGAAGCCGCAGUGAAUAGGCCCAGGCGACUGUUUAGCAAAAACACAGGUCUCUGCGAAGCCGUAAGGCGAAGUAUAGGGGCUGACGCCUGCCCGGUGCUGGAAGGUUAAGAGGAGCGCUUAGCGUAAGCGAAGGUGCGAAUUGAAGCCCCAGUAAACGGCGGCCGUAACUAUAACGGUCCUAAGGUAGCGAAAUUCCUUGUCGGGUAAGUUCCGACCCGCACGAAAGGCGCAACGAUCUGGGCACUGUCUCAACGAGAGACUCGGUGAAAUUAUAGUACCUGUGAAGAUGCAGGUUACCCGCGACAGGACGGAAAGACCCCGUGGAGCUUUACUGCAGCCUGAUAUUGAAUGUUGGUACAGCUUGUACAGGAUAGGUAGGAGCCUUGGAAACCGGAGCGCUAGCUUCGGUGGAGGCAUCGGUGGGAUACUACCCUGGCUGUAUUGACCUUCUAACCCGCUGCCCUUAUCGGGCAGGGAGACAGUGUCAGGUGGGCAGUUUGACUGGGGCGGUCGCCUCCUAAAAUGUAACGGAGGCGCCCAAAGGUUCCCUCAGAAUGGUUGGAAAUCAUUCGCAGAGUGUAAAGGCACAAGGGAGCUUGACUGCGAGACCUACAAGUCGAGCAGGGACGAAAGUCGGGCUUAGUGAUCCGGUGGUU
Molecule: ribosomal RNA, 2432 nt
Filed under: Bacillus aerophilus
Lineage: Bacteria; Bacillati; Bacillota; Bacilli; Caryophanales; Bacillaceae
Description: bacterial LSU rRNA
Rfam family: Bacterial large subunit ribosomal RNA
Source: RNAcentral